RNAcentral lists this ribosomal RNA (792 nucleotides) under uncultured archaeon. RNAcentral's name for it is "bacterial SSU rRNA". It matches the Rfam family "Archaeal small subunit ribosomal RNA", at positions 85 to 879 of the family's 1478-position model. The record is from RNAcentral.
ACUGCUCAGUAACACGUGGACAACCUGCCCAAAGGUCCGGGAUAACCCCGGGAAACUGGGGAUAAUACCGGAUAAAUCACAGGUACUGGAAGGUCUUGUGGUUGAAACUUCCGGGGCCUUUGGAUGGGUCUGCGGCGGAUUAGGUUGUUGCCGGUGUAACGUACCGUCAAGCCUGUAAUCCGUACGGGUUGUGAGAGCAAGAGCCCGGAGAUGGAUUCUGAGACAUGAAUCAGGCCCUACGGGGCGCAGCAGGCGCGAAAACUUUACAAUGCGGGAAACCGUGAUAAGGGGACACCGAGUGCCAGCGUCAUACGCUGGCUGUCCGGGUGUGUAAAAUACACCUGUUAGCAAGGGCCAGGCAAGACCGGUGCCAGCCGCCGCGGUAACACCGGCGGCCCGAGUGGUGAUCGUGAUUAUUGGGUCUAAAGGGUCCGUAGCCGGUUUGGUCAGUCCUCCGGGAAAUCUGACAGCUUAACUGUUAGGCUUUCGGGGGAUACUGCCAGACUUGGAACCGGGAGAGGUAAGAGGUACUACAGGGGUAGGAGUGAAAUCUUGUAAUCCCUGUGGGACCACCUGUGGCGAAGGCGUCUUACCAGAACGGGUUCGACGGUGAGGGACGAAAGCUGGGGGCACGAACCGGAUUAGAUACCCGGGUAGUCCCAGCCGUAAACGAUGCUCGCUAGGUGUCAGGCAUGGCGCGACCGUGUCUGGUGCCGCAGGGAAGCCGUGAAGCGAGCCACCUGGGAAGUACGGCCGCAAGGCUGAAACUUAAAGGAAUUGGCGGGGGAGCAC